Molecule: long non-coding RNA, 2524 nt
Organism: Lotus japonicus
Lineage: Eukaryota; Viridiplantae; Streptophyta; Magnoliopsida; Fabales; Fabaceae
Exons: 5
Source: RefSeq, a predicted model, not a curated record
GGAUGGGUCCUUGCCGAUUGAGGUGUGGUGGAUAAAAGUGAUUGGAGGUGCGCCGAGGUGUUGCUGACUUGAGGAGAUGAUGAUAGGGUCUGCGAGGGAAACCCGAAAUGGGUGCAGAUGACUUCUGUGAGGUUUUGCUUUUGCUGUUGUUGGCCUUUGAAAGGAUGGUGCUAGGGAAGAAAUGUCUCUUCAUUUUAACCUCGAGAUACUUAUGGAGUUAAGUAUCAUUGGAUGACAGGUAAACAAAGGCUUACGAAAUGAUUGGGGAAGAGGGGAACAACUUUGGAUCAGAGGUGUGUCGAGGUGUUGCUGACUUGAGGGCUGAGGCAAUACUAUACUAUCAAAACUGAGAGAGGAGAGCAUAGAUUUGUGCCUGAUAGUGGUUCUGAGCUUCUUCCAAAUACCUCAAUAUGAGGAAUCGGUAAGGUUGUGAAGAUGAUCAUGGCCACUAAAAUAUAGUUUACAAGCUUAUAAAAGUAAUUUGCAAAGAAGCAAACAUGAGCAGGCCCGGAGAUUGGAACUGCAGGUCCUGCCAGCACCUGAACUUUCAGAGGAGAGAUUCAUGCCAGCAAUGUGGGGACUCCAAAUAUGGAGACAGGAUCGAUUUUGGGGCAUUUGGAGGUGGAAUUAGAGGAGGGUCUUCAUUUGGGUUGAGCGGUUCAGAUGUUUGCCCCGGUGACUGGUACUGUGCUGCUGCUAACUGUGGUGCACACAACUUUGCUAGCCGCUCAAGCUGCUUCAAAUGUGGUGCAUUCAAGGAUGACUUAGUUGGAGGCUUCAGCAGCGACAUCUUGCGCUCAAGAGGCGGCUUUGGUGGCGGCGGCGGAGGAAGACCUGGAUGGAAAUCUGGUGACUGGAUAUGCAGCAGCCGCUUUUUUGGCUUAUUUUAAUCUUUAUGCUCCUUUCAGAGUUCCUGCUCUUCCUUCUUUUAGUUUCCCUCUCUUUUUCAUCUGUCAAAGUAUUCAGGACUCAAUUGGAGAAGAAAAAAUAAAAAAUUAUAGAAAUCUUAUCUCUAUCGUACUUGAGAUUUCUUAUCUCACUAAUCUGUCCUUUUCAUCUUACUCUCUCACAUUUUCACUAUCUCUUUAUCUCCACCUCUUCUGCAUCUCCUUAUCACUUUACAGUCGGAUCUGUUUCCUCUCCUGCCAAUCUCUCUCUCCGGCGUCUCACCGCACACGGCCGUGUCAAUUUUAUUCGUGUGCUUUGGACAAUUUUUGACAACUACUAUUGAAGUGUUUCCUUUCCCUAUUUGCUGGGUUAAUUUCAAUUGCUUUACUCUUCCGUAUGCAGGCUGACAAGAAAGGGCUAGACCACUGGAUGGAUGUUGAAGCCUUGAAAGAUAAACAAAAACAAGAAAUUGGUAAAGAAACUAGCGGAAAAGUACUAUGCCUUUUUAGCUUCUGAAGCUGUUACCAAGCAGAUUCCUCAUGAGCUUUGAUAAUCUCUACAACAAAUUUUGAAGGAAGGGGAGCUUCAAGUUGCUUGUAAAGAGAGAGGGAGUCAUUGUUGUCUUGUCAGUUUAGGGACAUUGCCACCAUUGUGAUGCACAAGACUUACAAUCCAUGCCAUUGACUCCAUAUCUAAGAGAAAGCUCAGAUUUGCUAAUUUGGUUUUCAGCUACAAGCCAUGGCAAUCAGGAUCUGAAUUUUUUAAACCCAAACUGGUGAAGUGGUUGAAUCACCUGUUUACCAGGCGGGAUCCCUUACCAGGCAUGGUUUUUAGUUUUUACAAUUAGCUUCAACAUAUCAAUUGCUGAAGAAAUGGGUUACUCUAUUUUUCUUUUUCUGUAAGAGGGUGAGAUUUUUACUAGAUGAAUUCAGAACGCUGAGAUGAGUUCGGAUUGGGUUUCAGAAUCUCAAACGGAGCCCAGACGGAACGACACUCUCCCCCACUUGCCGGCAAGGUAGCCGGAGAGUGAGCCAACUCUCAGCCACGCGCUUCACUCGCGCUGGAGGAAGAAAGAGAGUGGAGGCCACUCUCGGGCUUGAGCCACACACGCCUCUGCCGGUUUGGUCCUUGUCAUAAAUCGGUCAACAACGGUGCAAGCCAGGAAAAACUGAAAAUCCAGUGGUUAAUCAAUUUUAACCAGAUCCAAAUCUACAUGCUCAGGCGGCACAAUUCCUUCACUUCUGUCAGUUCCAAGUAACACCUUUUUAUGUGAAUUUAUUGUUAGAAUAUAAAUUAGACUUGACCUUUAUUACUUUUUGAAUUAUAAGGACAGAUGCAGCACUAUAGCCUAGGGAGUAGAUAUCAACACUAGAUAUCAAAGAUGAGUAAAGAAUAGCAUCAACGGCUUCACGUUGAUGUUUCCUUUUUGAAAUUUCAGCAGCUUUAUUGUGAUUAGGAGCUCUACCUUGACUAUUUGCAUCUCUGGUCUCUCUUUAUGACAUCUUUUUAUGGCGGAAGCAGAAACUUUUGUAGAACUGGUUAUUGGAACUGGCUUUUGUAGAAGUAGCAUUGGUGUUAUUAAAAAAACUCUUUAGUUAGCCUUGGAAUUGGUUAAUAUUGAAUCUGAAACUAUAAA